Molecule: long non-coding RNA, 507 nt
Organism: Stegostoma tigrinum
Lineage: Eukaryota; Metazoa; Chordata; Chondrichthyes; Orectolobiformes; Stegostomatidae
Exons: 3
Source: RefSeq, a predicted model, not a curated record
CUGGACUGGGGAGAAUGUAGGUCAGUGAGUACAAGUGACAUUCGACAAGGACGUAACAGUUUGAUCUCCAUGAAGUAAAGAGGAAAAAAAGGUCCUGGUGCAAAAGAAGAAAGAUUGUCGAUGUAAAGCUACAUAAUGAAAUUCUCAGAUUCUCUAAAAAUUUACAUCUUCAAACUUGUCUGAGGCCAUCAUGAAGCAGAGGAAAGGUCUUCUGAAGAUUAGCUCUGAUGCUUAGAUCAACCUGGGAAAGCCUAGCAGCAUACCCCAUGGAGCGAGUGUGCCACAUAAUGCUGGCAUGCUGUGGAGAUGUGCUGGACACUUGGAGACCUGGGGGAGGGGCAGCGGUCUUCUGAGGAGGAAGAUGAGGCCAAUGAGCAGGAGCAACAUCACCUUCAGCAUGAGAGAGAUAGCUGUGAAGCGCUUUGUACAACAAGCCAGUUAGGUUUGAAAGCUGGAUAUGGUGAGCACUUGAUUUUGUAAAUAUGUUAUUGUUGUUCAAAAUGCAAG